RNAcentral lists this unclassified non-coding RNA (200 nucleotides) under soil metagenome. RNAcentral describes it as "partial contains internal transcribed spacer 2 and large subunit ribosomal RNA". The record is from RNAcentral.
CAUUGCAACCCUCAAAUCAGUUUUAUCACUGGAUUGACGUUGGGCAUUGCCGGCAGGCACGCCUGAAAUCAGCGACGGUCUUCAACCGAACUCAAGCGUCCAGGCACAGUCAUUCGCUUUUGCAGGGAGUUUGGGGCCUGUCAACCGAUGAAUUUCUAGAUGUUGACCUCGGAUCAGGUAGGGAUACCCGCUGAACUUAA